CUUUAAUUAUUCUUUUAUUUCAUACAUUUAUUCAAAUGUAAUUAAAAUUUGGCAUAGAACAGGACAGUGAAAUGGACAGUAGCUAGUUUUCUAGAAUAAAGUUGUAACAAGGAAAGAAAUAGAGAGUAUGGCAGUAAAAGGAACAGCAGGAGAAGCAAAUGUAAAACCAUCUGCCAUCUAAGUUCGGCAGGUAAUACCUCUAGUAAAGUAUGUUCCAUUGCUUUGGCAUGGAUUGUCCUUUGUAACAGUGCAAAACUUUUGACAGUUACUGCAUUUUGUCAGUGUGCAUAAUUUAACUGUGAUCGUUUUUGCAGAGAUCAAGAUUCAGCUGAAGCCAACACAUGAAAAUUAGGUUCUCGAAGUGACUUAGUGGAGAAUUGGAGGACUGGAGCAAACUGCAAAAACUGAAGAAUGAGGAAGAGUGGGGGAUGUGAAGAGCUUCACUGCUUGGUGGCUACAGAUGUUGGGAAAACACAUGGAACCCACACAAUUGACCUUAUUCUGCUUCAGAUCAGUGGUUACAAUCACAUAUAAUUGCUUUAAGUAGAAGAGUUCCUCAGAGGAUGCCAAUCAAUUGCUGCGAGGAGGGUGAAACACAGGGUUUUGAGAUUUCU
RNAcentral lists this long non-coding RNA (614 nucleotides) under Coturnix japonica (Japanese quail). RNAcentral describes it as "lncRNA (ENSCJPG00005007506.1)". Lineage: Eukaryota; Metazoa; Chordata; Aves; Galliformes; Phasianidae. The record is from RNAcentral.